This 747-nucleotide long non-coding RNA is filed under the name Hordeum vulgare. Its description in RNAcentral is "long non-coding RNA (HVUL_LNC009997)". Lineage: Eukaryota; Viridiplantae; Streptophyta; Magnoliopsida; Poales; Poaceae. The record is from RNAcentral.
AACAGCAACGUAGCCGGAUGAAGCAGACAUUUUUUUAUUUUAUUUUUUAUUUUUAGGAAGCGCAGUCAACGAAACACAGUUGCGUCUGAAACCGCAGCCGCUUCGUUAGGAGCCGCAUCGAUCUGGAUCCGAGGCAAGGCGGCGUGUUGAUCUGGAGCCGCCAUCGAUCCGGAUUCGCGGAAGUGAGAUGGGGUGGCGGCGGCUGGUGGUGCCGCUCGAUCUGGCUGACGCGGAGGGAGCCGCUCGAGGCACGGGAGGGAACCGCCUCGAUCGGCCUCGAUCUGGCGAGCGACGGGAGAAACGCGGAGGGAGCCGCUCGAGGCACGGGAGGGAACCGCCUCGAUCGGCCUUGAUCUGGCGAGCGACGGGAGAAACCGCUCGAUCUCGGGAUGCCUCGAUCUGGCGAGCGGCAGUAGAAGCCACGGGAUCUGGCGAUCUGGCGCUCGGGAUGCCUCGAUCUGGUGAGCCACGGGAGGGAACAUCGGCGCUCGGGAUCCCAUCGGUUCUGGUCUGUCUGGUUCCCGUCUGAAUCCAGAAGCUAAAAAAAGAGACGGCCUUCCCAGAGAUCGAUCCGAGACGGAGUAGAAGCUGGAUACCGCCGCGAGAGCAACUUGUAUUCCCAUGAGGCCAUAGGCCGAUAUAUAUACAUGUACAGGUGAUGGAAUAUAUGCAGGAAACCCCUUAUAUAUUGGGAUAAAUACAAAAGGGUACAUGACUUAUAUUAUAACUCUAACAAGAAUAUCCCUC